UGGGGAAUUUUGGACAAUGGGCGAAAGCCUGAUCCAGCAAUGCCGCGUGCAGGAUGAAGGCCUUCGGGUUGUAAACUGCUUUUGUACGGAACGAAAAAGCUUCUCCUAAUACGAGAGGCCCAUGACGGUACCGUAAGAAUAAGCACCGGCUAACUACGUGCCAGCAGCCGCGGUAAUACGUAGGGUGCGAGCGUUAAUCGGAAUUACUGGGCGUAAAGCGUGCGCAGGCGGUUAUGUAAGACAGAUGUGAAAUCCCCGGGCUCAACCUGGGAACUGCAUUUGUGACUGCAUGGCUAGAGUACGGUAGAGGGGGAUGGAAUUCCGCGUGUAGCAGUGAAAUGCGUAGAUAUGCGGAGGAACACCGAUGGCGAAGGCAAUCCCCUGGACCUGUACUGACGCUCAUGCACGAAAGCGUGGGGAGCAAACA
Molecule: ribosomal RNA, 427 nt
Filed under: Delftia sp.
Lineage: Bacteria; Pseudomonadati; Pseudomonadota; Betaproteobacteria; Burkholderiales; Comamonadaceae
Also listed under: 4 other names
Description: partial 16S ribosomal RNA
Rfam family: Bacterial small subunit ribosomal RNA
Source: RNAcentral